UCCCUGGUGGUCUAGUGGUUAUGAUUCUGCUCUGCCAAUGCAGAGGGUGUGGGUUUGAUCCCUCACCAGGGAA
Molecule: transfer RNA, 73 nt
Filed under: Cutibacterium acnes
Lineage: Bacteria; Bacillati; Actinomycetota; Actinomycetes; Propionibacteriales; Propionibacteriaceae
Also listed under: 2 other names
Description: tRNA-Gly
Rfam family: tRNA
About the family: Transfer RNA (tRNA) molecules are approximately 80 nucleotides in length. Their secondary structure includes four short double-helical elements and three loops (D, anti-codon, and T loops). Further hydrogen bonds mediate the characteristic L-shaped molecular structure. tRNAs have two regions of fundamental functional importance: the anti-codon, which is responsible for specific mRNA codon recognition, and the 3' end, to which the tRNAs corresponding amino acid is attached (by aminoacyl-tRNA synthetases). tRNAs cope with the degeneracy of the genetic code in two manners: having more than one tRNA (with a specific anti-codon) for a particular amino acid; and 'wobble' base-pairing, i.e. permitting non-standard base-pairing at the 3rd anti-codon position.
Source: RNAcentral